Molecule: long non-coding RNA, 481 nt
Filed under: Chinchilla lanigera (long-tailed chinchilla)
Lineage: Eukaryota; Metazoa; Chordata; Mammalia; Rodentia; Chinchillidae
Description: lncRNA (ENSCLAG00000026526.1)
Source: RNAcentral
GAUCUACUUUAGUGCAAUUCUUGAAGUUUAGUCCAAUCCAUCUGAAUGCUACAGUUCCUCAGAUUAUUCUGUAAUAAAAAUCUAUCAAGAAAGAGAGUUAUUCCUCUAGGACCUAUGUACAUUUAUUUGCAAACAUCAGACCACUUUGCUAGUGUAUUUUCUGUCUCAGAUGAAAUGUUGAAAUGGCUUGACCCAAAUGCAAACAUGCCUGGCAAGAUGUGUUAUACUUCACAAACCGCUAAUCAGACCAGAGAAUCCAGGAGCGUGAUGCCAGCUCAGCUGAGGCCUGCAGUGUCUGCAGUUAACAUUGUCAAGUCUUCCCUGACUGUAAACAGUUACCUCACAUUACCUCAGAGCAUGAGGCUGUAUUUGUGCGUGAGGGCUGGCCACCACAGCCUCGCUUAGCUGAAAUUCUGGCUUCUGGAAGUCAUUUUCUACCACGUGCAUGCUUCAAUAAAUCUGCAAAAUAACUUAAGCAAAG